This 851-nucleotide ribosomal RNA is filed under the name uncultured bacterium. Its description in RNAcentral is "bacterial SSU rRNA". It matches the Rfam family "Bacterial small subunit ribosomal RNA", at positions 49 to 913 of the family's 1533-position model. The record is from RNAcentral.
UAACACAUGCAAGUCGAACGAGAGAUGAGGAGCUUGCUCUUCAGAUCGAGUGGCGAACGGGUGAGUAACGCGUGAGGAACCUGCCUCAAAGAGGGGGACAACAGUUGGAAACGACUGCUAAUACCGCAUAAGCCCACGGCUCGGCAUCGAGCAGAGGGAAAAGGAGUGAUCCGCUUUGAGAUGGCCUCGCGCCCGAUUAGCUAGUUGGUGAGGUAACGGCCCACCAAGGCGACGAUCGGUAGCCGGACUGAGAGGUUGAACGGCCACAUUGGGACUGAGACACGGCCCAGACUCCUACGGGAGGCAGCAGUGGGGAAUAUUGCACAAUGGGGGAAACCCUGAUGCAGCGACGCCGCGUGGAGGAAGAAGGUCUUCGGAUUGUAAACUCCUGUUGUUGAGGAAGAUAAUGACGGUACUCAACAAGGAAGUGGCGGCUAACUACGUGCCAGCAGCCGCGGUAAAACGUAGGUCACAAGCGUUGUCCGGAAUUACUGGGUGUAAAGGGAGCGCAGGCGGGAGAACAAGUUGGAAGUGAAAUCCAUGGGCUCAACCCAUGAACUGCUUUCAAAACUGUUUUUCUUGAGUAGUGCAGAGGUAGGCGGAAUUCCCGAUGUAGCGGUGGAAUGCGUAGAUAUCGGGAGGAACACCAGCGGCGAAGGCGGCCUACUGGGCACCAACUGACGCUGAGGCUCGAAAGUGUGGGUAGCAAACAGGAUUAGAUACCCUGGUAGUCCACACCGUAAACGAUGAUUACUAGGUGUUGGAGGAUUGACCCCUUCAGUGCCGCAGUUAACACAAUAAGUAAUCCACCUGGGGAGUACGACCGCAAGGUUGCAACUCAAAUGAAUUGA